This 431-nucleotide ribosomal RNA is filed under the name uncultured bacterium. Its description in RNAcentral is "partial 16S ribosomal RNA". It matches the Rfam family "Bacterial small subunit ribosomal RNA", at positions 29 to 507 of the family's 1533-position model. The record is from RNAcentral.
AACGAACGCUGGCGGCAGGCCUAACACAUGCAAGUCGAGCGGUCAGCAAGGGGAGCGGCCGUCGGGUGAGUAACGCGUGGGAACGUACCGUUUUGUCCGGAACAACUCCGGGAAACGGGAGCUAAUACCGGAUAAGGGCAAACGGGGCAAGAUAAAACGCCGAAAGAACUGAGCGCGACCGUUUGGCUAGUUGGCGUGGUAACGGCCCACCAGGGCGACGAUCAGAAGAGGGGCUGAGAGGAAGAUCAGCCACACUGGCACUGAGACACGGGCCGGACUCCUGCGGGAAGGAGGAGUGGGGAAUACUGGAAAAUGGGGGCAAGCCUGAUCCAGCCAUGCCGCGUGAGUGAUGAAGGCCUUAGGGUUGUAAAGCUCUUUUGUACGGGAAGAUAAUGACUGUACCGGAAGAAUAAGCCCCGGCUAACUUCGUG